This 468-nucleotide ribosomal RNA is filed under the name uncultured bacterium. Its description in RNAcentral is "partial 16S ribosomal RNA". It matches the Rfam family "Bacterial small subunit ribosomal RNA", at positions 28 to 507 of the family's 1533-position model. The record is from RNAcentral.
GACGAACGCUGGCGGCGUGCUUAACACAUGCAAGUCGAACGGAAAGGCCCUGCUUUUGUGGGUUGCUCGAGUGGCGAACGGGUGAGUAACACGUGAGUAACCUGCCCUUGACUUUGUGAUAACUUCAGGAAACUCGGGCUAAUACCGGAUAGGAGCUCCUGCUGCAUGGUGGUGGUUGGAAAGUUUCGGCGGUUGGGGAUGGACUCGCGGCUUAUCAGCUUGUUGGUGGGGUAGUGGCUUACCAAGGCUUUGACGGGUAGCCGGCCUGAGAGGGUGACCGGCGACAUGGGGACUGAGGGACGGAGCAGACUCCUACGGGAGGCAGCGGUGGGGAAUAUUACACAAUGGGCGGAAGCCUGAUGCGGCAACGCCGCGUGCGGGAUGACGGCCUUCGGGUUGUAAACCACUUUCGCCGGUGACGAAGCGGGAGUGACGGUAAUGGGUAAAAAAGCACCGGCUAACUACGUG